GCGGGAGUAGCUCAGUUGGUAGAGCAUCUGCUUGCCAAGCAGAAGGUCGCCGGUUCGAGCCCGGUCUCCCGCUCCA
This 76-nucleotide transfer RNA is filed under the name Candidatus Margulisbacteria bacterium GWF2_35_9. RNAcentral describes it as "tRNA-Gly". It matches the Rfam family "tRNA". Rfam says of the family: Transfer RNA (tRNA) molecules are approximately 80 nucleotides in length. The record is from RNAcentral. Lineage: Bacteria; Bacillati; Candidatus Margulisiibacteriota.